Long non-coding RNA from Aricia agestis (brown argus), 221 nucleotides. RefSeq lists it as uncharacterized. The record is from RefSeq and is a predicted model, not a curated record. The transcript has 3 exons. NCBI's taxonomy places the organism in Eukaryota, Metazoa, Arthropoda, Insecta, Lepidoptera, Lycaenidae.
UACAUCAAGCAAAUUGCGGCAACAAGCAGCAAUAUUGCGCAAUACAAUAUUGAGUGAUGUGGCCAUCAAAUAUUUGAGCGAUUAUGACAUUGAGCGAUAUGAAAUAAAUUGCUUCAUAUUGCUCCACUAAUUGCUCCAGAUCUCUCCAUUCGUGUCACCGAGCAAUUAUUGCCGUAAUUAUUGCCCGUGUAAGCGCAUCUUAAGAUUGUAUUGACAUAAGC